GAUGAACGCUGGCGGCGUGCCUAAUACAUGCAAGUCGAGCGAACGGACGAGAAGCUUGCUUCUCUGAUGUUAGCGGCGGACGGGUGAGUAACACGUGGAUAACCUACCUGUAAGACUGGGAUAACUUCGGGAAACCGGAGCUAAUACCGGAUAAUAUUUUGAACCGCAUGGUUCAAAAGUGAAAGACGGUCUUGCUGUCACUUAUAGAUGGAUCCGCGCUGCAUUAGCUAGUUGGUAAGGUAACGGCUUACCAAGGCAACGAUGCAUAGCCGACCUGAGAGGGUGAUCGGCCACACUGGAACUGAGACACGGUCCAGACUCCUACGGGAGGCAGCAGUAGGGAAUCUUCCGCAAUGGGCGAAAGCCUGACGGAGCAACGCCGCGUGAGUGAUGAAGGUCUUCGGAUCGUAAAACUCUGUUAUUAGGGAAGAACAUAUGUGUAAGUAACUGUGCACAUCUUGACGGUACCUAAUCAGAAAGCCACGGCUAACUACGUG
Molecule: ribosomal RNA, 497 nt
Filed under: uncultured bacterium
Lineage: Bacteria
Description: partial 16S ribosomal RNA
Rfam family: Bacterial small subunit ribosomal RNA
Source: RNAcentral